CAACGCCGCGUGGAGGAUGAAGCCCCUUGGGGGUGUAAACUCCUUUCGAUCGGGAAGAUAAUGACGGUACCGAUAUAAGAAGCCCCCGGCUAAACUUCGUGC
This 102-nucleotide ribosomal RNA is filed under the name uncultured bacterium. RNAcentral's name for it is "partial 16S ribosomal RNA". It matches the Rfam family "Bacterial small subunit ribosomal RNA", at positions 392 to 508 of the family's 1533-position model. The record is from RNAcentral.